This 1030-nucleotide long non-coding RNA is filed under the name Equus caballus (horse). Its description in RNAcentral is "lncRNA (ENSECAG00000051037.1)". The record is from RNAcentral. Lineage: Eukaryota; Metazoa; Chordata; Mammalia; Perissodactyla; Equidae.
GGGAAAGGGAGGAGCCGGUGUCUAGUCAAAGCUCAGCUCUUGUCCCCAGCCCCUCCUCUCCACUCUGCCUCUUCUGAAACUCUGAGGGCAGUUUUGUACCCUACCCCAGCUUCCAAUGUGGUGGGAGACCUCAGCAGUGGGAGAGUUGGGCUGCAGAUGCUCUGAUCCUUUGACACCUGGACUUGAGGUGCCUAAGACCCCAAAACGAAAAAUGAAAGUGCUCCCAGCCCCAAGGAGGUUUUUUUUGCAGGGGGUGAAGAUGCAGCUUCUGGGUCAAGAUGUCUCUGGGCUCUCGAAAUUCUUCUUAUUAAAUACGUGGUUACUUGUUUACACAACAUAUGCCUAACUUUGGGAGCCCACCAACAUCACCAUCUUACUAAGAGACUGAUUUAAUGAGAUGGAACAACUUACACCCCUUAUCAGCAGGAGGAAGCUAGAGCAGUUAUCACCCUAUGUCCCUCAAGAUUGCAGAAUGAAGAACAAAAAGGGAGGAUUUGUAACCAUGGGUCUUCUAGGACCAGUUCAACUGACCCCAUCUCUUAUCAAAAGAGUGAUUAAGAAUUGCCUUCCAGAAAAUUCAAAGUCACGUAGCCAGAGCAUGCACAGAAGAAGAAAUCUUGACCUGAAGUGACCGCAGAACCAAAGAUUCUCAUCCCCAUGGGACUCAGAGACCAAGACAUGACCAGAACUUAAACAUCAGACUCUUACCAGAAGCCAGGGGUGCCUCAUUCAGAAAGAACCGGUGUCAAAAUUCCUUCCCCACCUCAUCAUAAAUGUUUAGAACCCUAUCAUAAAAGUUUAGAACUUCAUCAUAAAUGUUCAGAACACUGUCAUAAAUGUUUAGAACUUUACCAUAAAUGCUUGAAGCCUACCAAUGAAAACCUAUCCCACCAGUGUUUCCAUGUGACAGCCUAUUCUCCCUAACCUCUUAAAUUUCACCCCAAAUCCUGAAUCAGGGAGACAUAUCUGAGGCCACAUGGCCCCUGUCUCCCUGCAGAUCAAUCCCACAGAAUAAAGCUGAUUUCUCUCC